RNAcentral lists this ribosomal RNA (487 nucleotides) under uncultured bacterium. RNAcentral describes it as "bacterial SSU rRNA". It matches the Rfam family "Bacterial small subunit ribosomal RNA", at positions 28 to 507 of the family's 1533-position model. The record is from RNAcentral.
GAUGAACGCUAGCGGGAGGCUUAACACAUGCAAGUCGAGGGGCAGCAUAGGGUAGCAAUACUCUGAUGGCGACCGGCAAACGGGUGAGUAACGCGUAUGCAACCUACCCUGUACAGGGGGAUAACUCGGAGAAAUUCGGACUAAUAUCCCGUAAUAAUAUCCGGAGGCAUCUUUGGAUAUUUAAAGUUCCGACGGUACGGGAUGGGCAUGCGUAACAUUAACUGGUUGGUAAGGUAACGGCUUACCAAGGCUAUGAUGUUUAGGGGUCCUGAGAGGGUGGUCCCCCACACUGGUACUGAGACACGGACCAGACUCCUACGGGAGGCAGCAGUGAGGAAUAUUGGUCAAUGGGCGCAAGCCUGAACCAGCCAUCCCGCGUGCAGGAAGACGGCCCUAUGGGUUGUAAACUGCUUUUCCAGGGAGAGAAACUUACGCACGUGUUGCGUGACUGACGGUACCCUGGGAAUAAGCAUCGGCUAACUCCGUG